CAGAGGGUGCGAGCGUUGUCCGGAAUCACUGGGCGUAAAGGGCGCGUAGGUGGCGACCCAAGUCUGUGGUGAAAGCUCGACGCUCAACGUCGAGUCGGCCAUAGAUACUGGGUUGCUUGAGCACUGUAGAGGCAGAUGGAAUUCCGGGUGUAGCGGUGGAAUGCGUAGAGAUCCGGAAGAACGACCGGUGGCGAAGGCGGUCUGCUGGGCAGUUGCUGGACACUGAGGCGG
Molecule: ribosomal RNA, 231 nt
Filed under: uncultured bacterium
Lineage: Bacteria
Description: partial 16S ribosomal RNA
Rfam family: Bacterial small subunit ribosomal RNA
Source: RNAcentral